This 1038-nucleotide long non-coding RNA is filed under the name Monodelphis domestica (gray short-tailed opossum). RNAcentral describes it as "lncRNA (ENSMODG00000037268.1)". The record is from RNAcentral. Lineage: Eukaryota; Metazoa; Chordata; Mammalia; Didelphimorphia; Didelphidae.
ACCUGCCGUUGCUCCUGCCAUUCCCCGAUCCUGGGCCGGAAGACGCCGGAGGGAGUCUGUUCAAAUGAGGGACUCGGGCUGUGCCAUUCCCAUGCAUUACAAGGAAGGAAAUUGGUAAGGAAUCGGGUCUGCGCGGCGCCGCCUGCGGCACACGCUCUGCUGCUUCCUGGAGUCUCUGCGCCACAGGACAGGGAAACGCCUUCGGCUGCCCAGGCUCCUUCCCAGGCGUUCGGAGCUCCCCCCAGUGUCGGCUCUGGGUGGUGCAGGACAGGCAGAAGGAGCCCUCCAUUCCUUGCACGGGGCGGGCCCUACAAGGCUGUGGUCAGCCGUGCUCUGGGGGCAGAGAUCUGUGCGCCAUCCUCAGGCAGCCUUCACAGGGCGGUUCCUUCUGAGACAGCCGGAGGCGGAGCCUCUCCUCCGAGGGGCGGGGCCACCACUCUGCAGGUUCAGCCACAGCCUCGCCCUGGCUCUGUCAGGGCCGCCAUCUUCGUUUUGGAAGCCUGUCUGCCGCUUUCAAGGUCGCCGCCAUGUUUACGUCACAGUUUGACCCCUAACAGGCCUGUCACUUUACCGCCGGGGGAGGAGCUCGGCGGCAUUCCAGGGGGCGUCUGGGGCUUCACACCAGACCCCGCAGGCCUUUGUUCAGAAGAUGGCCCAUUCAGGCAGGACCCAGACGGGGACAGUUCCGGGGGUGAAGUUGUUCCUCUUGUUAGGGCGGGAGGUGCAGCCCGGAACUCGCACGGCCAGUCUGCUCUUGGAGGGAAGGUCCGAAUCUCCCCCCUCCCCCCCCCCCCCAAGACCCGAGAUCUAGACCCGUCUGUGCAGCCUUCCCGAGGCUUGGCCGUCAGCCUGCGAAGCCAGUCCAGCUGCCUGGAGGAUUUCCGCCCACUUUGGGGGGGGGCAGAGCUGGCCUGGGACGAUGGGGGUGGUUGUUGCACACCAGAGCCUGGCGGCAGGAUGUUUGUUGCCUUCCAGGGACAGCAGAACCAUCCGCCCCAGGCGGACAUGCAGGGCACAAGAGCAGGGCCAGGAGCUUGA